This 246-nucleotide long non-coding RNA is filed under the name Mytilus galloprovincialis (Mediterranean mussel). Lineage: Eukaryota; Metazoa; Mollusca; Bivalvia; Mytilida; Mytilidae. The record is from RNAcentral.
GUGGGCUAAGUUUUUCUCUUGGAUGGUUAUCGUAGUAGGAGCGGGUGCGGUUGCGGGUGCGGUUGUAUUAUCUUCCAUAUCUUCGUCGCGGGUUUUUCUUUUCUUCGAGGUAUGGGCUGUUUCUUCAGUGAGGUUGGUGGUAGAAUGGAACUGGUCGGUAGACAUGAGGCUGACGGUUGUAACUACAACGCAGGACGGCUAAGGUGGAUCGUGUGCGGAUGCAGGGGUUCACAGAAAAAUACCAGG